This 460-nucleotide ribosomal RNA is filed under the name uncultured bacterium. RNAcentral describes it as "partial 16S ribosomal RNA". It matches the Rfam family "Bacterial small subunit ribosomal RNA", at positions 338 to 795 of the family's 1533-position model. The record is from RNAcentral.
CCUACGGGAGGCAGCAGUGGGGAAUAUUGGUCAAUGGGCGUAAGCCUGAACCAGCCAAGUCGCGUGAGGGAUGAAGGUUCUAUGGAUCGUAAACCUCUUUUAUAAGGGAAUAAAGUGUGGGACGUGUCCUGUUUUGUAUGUACCUUAUGAAUAAGGAUCGGCUAACUCCGUGCCAGCAGCCGCGGUAAUACGGAGGAUCCGAGCGUUAUCCGGAUUUAUUUGGUUUAAAGGGUGCGUAGGCGGCCUUUUAAGUCAGCGGGGAAAGUCUGUGGCUCAACCAUAGAAGUGCCGUUGAAACUGGCGGGCUUGAGUAUGUCUGAGGCAGGCGGAAUGCGUGGUGUAGCGGUGAAAUGCUUAGAUAUCACGCAGAACUCCGAUUGCGAAGGCAGCCUGCCAAGCCAUGACUGACGCUGAUGCACGAAAGCGUGGGGAUCAAACAGGAUUAGAUACCCGUGUAGUC